Molecule: long non-coding RNA, 1910 nt
Filed under: Neodiprion lecontei (redheaded pine sawfly)
Lineage: Eukaryota; Metazoa; Arthropoda; Insecta; Hymenoptera; Diprionidae
Description: uncharacterized LOC124293665
Source: RNAcentral
UGUUACAGAGAGUUACGACAAAAGAAUAGAAUUGCGGGUGAAUCGUGAAGAGGUGGUAUACACACGUAUAUUGGAUUGACUAAAAAUUCAUGCCCAUGCGAAUUGUCGUUAUGGUCAAACGAGCAAAUGGGUCAACGAGUACGGAUUGAGCCAAGGAAGAAAGACGCGCGAACGAACCAGUUAUUAUUAUACAUCCCAUUGUCGCCCACCAAGGCAAGCUGCCAAAACGCUGACGUUUUUCUAACCGCGACAAACGGUAUUUACGUUUACGAUUGUAAUCGCACUUGAAGCAGGUGAACGGUAAGUCUGAUUAACACGGUGAGAGAUGGAUCCCAGACGUACCUAUACAAAUGACCAACGUAUAUUUUAUAAUACACAUUCGCUGUCAACGGCGCGCGAAGCGACGAACUUUUCUUUUUUCACCUGCACAGAUCCGUAACGAUGACGUAAUGCAACCGCAGAAAAUUGUCUGGAGAGAAACGAAGGAAUUGUUUGCAAUAAAAUUAAGGCUUCAGAGAUUCGUGCGAAUAAACGGCUACACGUGAUCCACCUGUACAGGAACGCACUUCUGGCGUCAACUGCGGUUGUCACGAAAGGAAAAGACGGGGAAUCAAACGAGAGGGAAUAAAAGUGAAUUCGAAAAAAUCGACGAAGCGUACGUACAGGCAUGUCGAAGUACGUAGGAAUAAAGGGAAAGAGGUGCACAACCGCAAAUAUUCAACGUGUAUGUAUGCGCGUACAUUGUACGAUGUAGUUCACGUCAAUUGCACGACAAGGCCUCCGGGAUGCCGGAUUUCACACGCUCAACGCACGACAGUAAAAUGGGUAUAUCUCGACAGAGAACGGUAUACGUUUCUGUGAAACAAGUCAGCAAAACGGAUGCAGGCGUCGAAUUCUCAACGACGCAACUUCGCGGCUGUAUAUUAGACCAUGUACGAUUAUACAGAUGCGUCGACGGCAUUUUAUGAAGUUCGUCUGAAGCACCAGAGAAACGAACGCCUAACUGUGCAUAUUCGAUAACAUUUUUCUUGCAAUUAGUGCCAUGUGGUUAUUUGGCACAACGAACGAGGUGAAAUUCAAUUCAGUUAACACACAGAUCCGGAAGGCGUGAAAACAUUCCUAAAAAGAAAUCUGCAUUCUCAACUCGUCCGUCAGACGCUAUUUUUUUCUUUUAGUUUUUGUUUAAUUGGAUUUGGCAUGGAAUCUGAACAUCAGUACGUUUAAUCUGUACUAAUUCGCUGUUUAUUCUUCAACUAUCAGAGCAAUAUAAAUAUGCGUAAAAAUUUCACACACGCCAUAUUUUUACAGAGUCCUGAAUUCGAUUGCAAGAUUUCCGUUUAAACUCACAUUCACCGAAACUCAAUAUCCGCACCUCGUGAAUUUCAAAUUGAUGUAAUGCAUACCGAUACAGCGUUCAAAAGCGUGAUCCGAUUCGUAUCGAAAAAGUCAUACAUUAUUUAUUCGUAAUCAGUAUGUCGCAUCACUUUCAUUAUUUUAGUUACUAACGCAGAAUCCAUUGUUCCAAACAAUACCAGGAACGAAUGUAUUUUUUUUUUUCUUGUGCUGUACUGCAUAGAAAAAGAUUGGACGCAACCAACUGAAUCUGUUGUUGUGAGCACGGAAAUAAGAGAUUUAUUCAACAACUGAAACUAAAUAUCAGCUGAUACACCAACACCUUUUUUUGUCCAAACAGAUGUUUGACUUCAUUCUCGGAUACUUAGUUUCCGUAACUGAUAAACAAUGAUUUACAAAUUCGCGACAGUAAACUCGGCUAAAAUCCGUACUACCGAUCCUUCGGCUCCGUGUAUAAUGUACCUCCGAAUACGCGGAUUGCCUUUUUUAUCCAAGACCCGCGAUCAGCCAGCCAGCCCAUCUGUUACCAUAUGCAAUAAAUUUGGUUUAUACGAUUA